AUUGAACGCUGGCGGCAUGCUUUACACAUGCAAGUCGAACGGUAACAGGCCGCAAGGUGCUGACGAGUGGCGAACGGGGGCGUAAUGCAUCGGAACGUGCCCAGUCGUGGUGGCUAACUACUCGAAAGAGUAGCUAAUACCGCAUACGAGCUAAGGAUGAAAGCGGGGGACCGGAAGGCCUCGCGCGAUUGGAGCGGCCGAUGUCAGAUUAGCUAGUUGGUGGGGUAAAGGCUCACCAAGCCAACGAUCUGUAGCUGGUCUGAGAGGACGACCAGCCACACUGGAACUGAGACACGGCCCAGACUCCUACGGGAGGCAGCAGUGGGGAAUUUUGGACAAAGGGCGCAAGCCUGAUCCAGCAAUGCCGCGUGCAGGAAGAAGGCCUUCGGGUUGUAAACUGCUUUUGUACGGAACGAAACGGCUCUGGUUAAUACCCGGGGCUAAUGACGGUACCGUAAGAAUAAGCACCGGCUAACUACGUG
Molecule: ribosomal RNA, 482 nt
Filed under: uncultured bacterium
Lineage: Bacteria
Description: partial 16S ribosomal RNA
Rfam family: Bacterial small subunit ribosomal RNA
Source: RNAcentral